RNAcentral lists this microRNA precursor (105 nucleotides) under Marmota monax (woodchuck). The record is from RNAcentral. Lineage: Eukaryota; Metazoa; Chordata; Mammalia; Rodentia; Sciuridae.
AUGUAAAUCAUUUGGGGAUCUUGUUAAAAUGUAGACUUCAAUUCAGUGGAUUUGGGGUGGUAACUAAGAUUUAGCAUUUCUAAAAAGUUGCCAGGUGGUACAGAU